CUUAAUACAUGCAAGUCGAACGAAUGGAUGUCUAGCUUGCUAGACUGAAGUUAGUGGCGAACGGGUGAGUAAUACAUAGGCAAUCUGCCCUGAAGUGUGGGAUAGCUAUUGGAAACGAUAAUUAAUACCGCAUAGGUAGUAGGAAGGCAUCUUCCUACUAUUAAAGAUGCGUUUGCAUCGCUGCAGGAUGAGCUUAUGGUGUAUUAGCUAGUUGGUGAGAUAAAAGCCCACCAAGGCUAUGAUACAUAGCUGGUCUGAGAGGAUGAACAGCCACAUUGGGACUGAGACACGGCCCAGACUCCUACGGGAGGCAGCAGUAAGGAAUUUUCGGCAAUGGGGGCAACCCUGACCGAGCAACGCCGCGUGAGUGAUGAAGGUCUUCGGAUCGUAAAACUCUGUUGUAAAGGAAGAAUGUCAUAUAUAGGAAAUGAUAUAUGAGUGACGGUACUUUACUAGAAAGUCACGGCUUACUACGUG
RNAcentral lists this ribosomal RNA (477 nucleotides) under uncultured bacterium. RNAcentral describes it as "bacterial SSU rRNA". It matches the Rfam family "Bacterial small subunit ribosomal RNA", at positions 47 to 507 of the family's 1533-position model. The record is from RNAcentral.